This 74-nucleotide transfer RNA is filed under the name Gemmatimonadaceae bacterium. RNAcentral's name for it is "tRNA-Arg". It matches the Rfam family "tRNA". From Rfam's summary of the family: Transfer RNA (tRNA) molecules are approximately 80 nucleotides in length. Their secondary structure includes four short double-helical elements and three loops (D, anti-codon, and T loops). Further hydrogen bonds mediate the characteristic L-shaped molecular structure. tRNAs have two regions of fundamental functional importance: the anti-codon, which is responsible for specific mRNA codon recognition, and the 3' end, to which the tRNAs corresponding amino acid is attached (by aminoacyl-tRNA synthetases). tRNAs cope with the degeneracy of the genetic code in two manners: having more than one tRNA (with a specific anti-codon) for a particular amino acid; and 'wobble' base-pairing, i.e. permitting non-standard base-pairing at the 3rd anti-codon position. Lineage: Bacteria; Pseudomonadati; Gemmatimonadota; Gemmatimonadia; Gemmatimonadales; Gemmatimonadaceae. The record is from RNAcentral.
GUGCCUGUAGCCCAACUGGAUAGAGCAUCAGUCUUCGGAACUGAUUGUUGCUGGUUCGACCCCAGCCAGGCACA